Molecule: microRNA precursor, 93 nt
Filed under: Marmota monax (woodchuck)
Lineage: Eukaryota; Metazoa; Chordata; Mammalia; Rodentia; Sciuridae
Source: RNAcentral
AGUGGAGUUGCUGGGUCAUACAGUAAGUGUUUAGCUUUAUAAGAUUCUUAAGUGUUUUGCGAAGUUGUACUGUUUUGCAUUCCUACCAGCAGU